This 253-nucleotide ribosomal RNA is filed under the name uncultured bacterium. RNAcentral describes it as "partial 16S ribosomal RNA". It matches the Rfam family "Bacterial small subunit ribosomal RNA", at positions 524 to 776 of the family's 1533-position model. The record is from RNAcentral.
UACGUAGGGGGCAAGCGUUGUCCGGAAUCAUUGGGCGUAAAGAGCGCGUAGGCGGCCCAGUCAGUCCGCUCUGAAAGUCGGGGGCUCAACCCUCGGAUGCCGGUGGAUACUGUCGGGCUUGAGUACGGAAGAGGCGAGUGGAAUUCCUGGUGUAGCGGUGAAAUGCGCAGAUAUCAGGAGGAACACCAAUUGCGAAGGCAGCUCGCUGGGACGUUACUGACGCUGAGACGCGAAAGCGUGGGGAGCAAACAGG